This 486-nucleotide ribosomal RNA is filed under the name uncultured bacterium. RNAcentral describes it as "partial 16S ribosomal RNA". It matches the Rfam family "Bacterial small subunit ribosomal RNA", at positions 899 to 1397 of the family's 1533-position model. The record is from RNAcentral.
ACUCAAAUGAAUUGACGGGGACUUGCACAAGCGGUGGAUUAUGUGGUUUAAUUCGAUGGUAAACGAAGAACCUCACCAGGGUUUGAAACCUACGUGAAAGCUCCGAGAAACCGGAGCCCUCGCAAGACUAGUAGGCAGGUGCUGCAUGGCCGUCGUCAGUUCGUGGUUUGAAUUGUUCCCUUCAGUGGGGUAACGAACGCAACCCUUGUUGUCUGUUAUAAGUAUCAGACGAGACUGCCCCCUCUCGGGGGAGGAAGGUAAGGAUGACGCCAGGUCAGCAUGGCCCUUUGAUACCCUGGGCUACACACAUAAUACAAUCGCCGUUACAACGUGACGCAAUGCCGCAAGGCGGAGCAAAUCAUAAUAAAAACGGCGCCAGUUCGGAUUGAGGUCUGCAACUCGACCUCAUGAAGCCGGAAUCGCUAGUAAUCGCGGGUCAGCUAUACCGCGGUGAAUACGUUCUCAAGUCUUGUACACACCGCCCGU